This 747-nucleotide ribosomal RNA is filed under the name uncultured bacterium. RNAcentral describes it as "bacterial SSU rRNA". It matches the Rfam family "Bacterial small subunit ribosomal RNA", at positions 750 to 1509 of the family's 1533-position model. The record is from RNAcentral.
UGCACGAAGGUGUGGGUAUCAAACAGGAUUAGAUACCCUGGUAGUCCACACAGUAAACUAUGAAUACUCGCUGUUUGCGAUACACAGUAAGCGGCUAAGCGAAAGCAUUAAGUAUUCCACCUGGGGAGUACGUCGGCAACGAUGAAACUCAAAGGAAUUGACGGGGGCCCGCACAAGCGGAGGAACAUGUGGUUUAAUUCGAUGAUACGCGAGGAACCUUACCUGGGCUUGAAUUGCAACUGACAGCUUUUGAAAGAGAGUUUUUCUUCGGAACAGUUGUGAAGGUGCUGCAUGGUUGUCGUCAGCUCGUGCCGUGAGGUGUCGGCUUAAGUGCCAUAACGAGCGCAACCCUUAUUGCUAGUUGCUAACAGAUUAUGCUGAGGACUCUAGUGAGACUGCCGUCGUAAGAUGUGAGGAAGGAGGGGAUGACGUCAAAUCAGCACGGCCCUUAUGUCCAGGGCGACACACGUGUUACAAUGGGAGGAUCAACGGGCAGCUACCUAGCGAUAGGAUGCUAAUCUCUAAACCCUCUCUCAGUUCGGAUUGAAGUCUGCAAUUCGACUUCAUGAAGCUGGAUUCGCUAGUAAUCGCGCAUCAGCCACGGCGCGGUGAAUACGUUCCCGGGCCUUGUACACACCGCCCGUCAAGCCAUGGAAGCCGAGGGUACCUGAAGUAUGUAACCGCAAGGAGCGUUCUAGGGUAAGAUCGGUGACUGGGGCUAAGUCGUAACAAGGUAGCCGUAAAGGG